Molecule: ribosomal RNA, 1513 nt
Filed under: metagenome
Description: bacterial SSU rRNA
Rfam family: Bacterial small subunit ribosomal RNA
Source: RNAcentral
GAGUUUGAUCAUGGCUCAGGACUAACGUUGGCGGCAUGCAUCAUACAUGCAAGUUGAGCGAUCGGACUUUUGAAGCUUGCUUUAGAAGUUACGGAGCAGCGGACGGGUGAGUAACGCGUAGGUAACCUGCCUUACAGUUUGGGAUAGCUGGCCGAAAGGUCAAUUAAUACUGGAUACGACGGAGAUUUCAAAUGUUAACUCCGGGAAAGAGGCUUUCGGGCCUCGCUGUAAGAUGGACUUGCGUACUAUUAGCUGGUUGGUGGGGUAAUGGCCUACCAAGGCUCUGAUGGUUAGCCGGCUUGAGAGAGUGAACGGCCACACUGGAACUGAGACACGGUCCAGACUCCUACGGGAGGCAGCAGUAGGGAAUCUUCGGCAAUGGGCGAAAGCCUGACCGAGCAAUGCCGCGUGAGGGAUGAAUGCCUUCGGGUUGUAAACCUCUGUCAUUAGGGAAGAAAGUGCAUAUCAGGAAAUGGGUGUGUAUUGACGGUACCUAAGGAGGAAGUCACGGCUAAUUACGUGCCAGCAGCCGCGGUAAUACGUAAGUGGCAAACGUUGUCCGGAAUCACUGGGUGUAAAGCGCAUGUAGGCGGCCAAGUAAGUCUGAGGUGAAAUCCAUCGGCUCAACCGAUGAACUGCCUUGGAAACUGCUAGGCUAGAGGGUCAGAGGGGAAAGUGGAAUUUCAGGUGUAGCGGUGAAAUGCGUAGAUAUCUGAGAGAACACCAAUGGCGAAGGCAGCUUUCUGGCUGACUCCUGACGCUGAGAUGCGAAAGCUAGGGUAGCGAACGGGAUUAGAUACCCCGGUAGUCCUAGCCCUAAACGAUGAAUACUAGGAAAUGGGUUUUUGACUCGGUUCCGAAGCAAACGCGUUAAGUAUUCCACCUGGGGACUACGACCGCAAGGUUGAAACUCAAAGGAAUUGACGGGGGCCCGCACAAGCGGUGGAGCAUGUGGUUUAAUUCGAUGCAACGCGGAAAACCUUACCUGGACUUGACAUCCCUGGCCCGCCUAAGAAAUUAGGUUUUUACGGUUUCGUAACCGGGUGACAGGUGGUGCAUGGCUGUCGUCAGCUCGUGUCGUGAGAUGUUGGGUUAAGUCCCGCAACGAGCGCAACCCCCGUGUUUAGUUACUAACAGGUCAAGCUGAGGACUCUAGACAGACUGCUGGUUCUACGCCAGAGGAAGGUGGGGACGACGUCAAGGCAUCAUGCCCCUUACGUCCAGGGCUACACACGUGCUACGAUGGUGCAUACAGAGGGCUGCGAGACAGUAAUGUUAAGCCAACCCCUUAAAGUGCGCCUCAGUUCGGAUUGAGGGCUGCAACUCGCCCUCAUGAAGGUGGAAUCGCUAGUAAUCGCGAAUCAGCAUGUCGCGGUGAAUACGUUCCCGGGCCUUGUACACACCGCCCGUCACACCACCCGAGUCGGGUGCUCCCGAAGUCGCAUACUUAACUAGUUUACUAGAGGGAUGUGCCGAAGGAGUGCUUGGUAAGGAGGGUGAAGUCGUAACAAGG